GAGAGUUAAGAGCACGUGAAAUCGGUAAGGUGGAAACGGAUAGAGUUAACGUAUCUGAUUUGUGUUCAGCUGUUAAUUGUUUGUAAUGUAUAAUUUUAAAAGUGUGUUAGUAGUUUACUGCCGUACAUUGCUUUUUAGUUUACAUCUGCAUCAAUUAGCGGUGCAUUUACAAAUCUAUGUGCGCUGGAACAUGUGCGUGGGUUGCUGGAUUCACAAGAAGAUCUUUACAAUUUAUUGUAUUGAGCAAACUUGUUGUUAUAAGGCAAUUCUGCGUGCAUGUCUAAUGAUUUUUUGGGGUAUGGCAUUAGCGAAUGCAUUUUGUGUAUGGUUUUGCAGCGUAUGUCGGUCGCUUGCGACACGUAUAUUGUUUUGCAAAAAAUUUAAUAUACAUUUUGCUUCACUUGCCCGCUUCCAGUGUAAAAGUUAAUUAUCUAUCCGACCCGUCUUGAAACACGGACCAAGGAGUUUAACGUAUACGCGAGUCAUUGGGUGAUAAAACCUAAAGGC
RNAcentral lists this ribosomal RNA (507 nucleotides) under Rhabditida sp. 3065ed. RNAcentral describes it as "eukaryotic LSU rRNA". It matches the Rfam family "Eukaryotic large subunit ribosomal RNA", at positions 383 to 715 of the family's 3401-position model. Lineage: Eukaryota; Metazoa; Nematoda; Chromadorea; Rhabditida. The record is from RNAcentral.